AUACGUAGGGGGCGAGCGUUGUCCGGAAUUACUGGGCGUAAAGGGCGUGUAGGCGGCGGUGUAAGUCUGGAGUGAAAGUCACGCAUUCAAUGUGGGCAUUGCUUUGGAUACUGCAGUGCUAGAGUGCGGAAGUGGUAAGUGGAAUUCCCAGUGUCGGGGUGAACUGCGUAGAGAUUGGGAGGAACACCAGUGGCGAAGGCGACUUACUGGGCCGUAACUGACGCUGAGGCGCGAAAGCGUGGGGAGCGAACAGGAUUAGAUACCCUGGUAGUCCACGCGGUAAACGAUGAAUGCUAGGUGUUGCGGGUAACGACCCCUGCAGUGCCGGAGUAAACACAAUAAGCAUUCCGCCUGGGGAGUACGGCCGCAAGGUUGAAACUCAAAUGAAUUGGCGGGG
Molecule: ribosomal RNA, 397 nt
Filed under: uncultured bacterium
Lineage: Bacteria
Description: partial 16S ribosomal RNA
Rfam family: Bacterial small subunit ribosomal RNA
Source: RNAcentral